This 453-nucleotide ribosomal RNA is filed under the name uncultured Prevotellaceae bacterium. Its description in RNAcentral is "bacterial SSU rRNA". It matches the Rfam family "Bacterial small subunit ribosomal RNA", at positions 341 to 792 of the family's 1533-position model. Lineage: Bacteria; Pseudomonadati; Bacteroidota; Bacteroidia; Bacteroidales; Prevotellaceae. The record is from RNAcentral.
ACGGAAGGCAGCAGUGAGGAAUAUUGGUCAAUGGUCGGAAGACUGAACCAGCCAAGUAGCGUGAAGGAUGACUGCCCUAUGGGUUGUAAACUUCUUUUAUGCGGGAAUAAAAAGGAUUACGUGUAGUCUGUUGCAUGUACCGCAUGAAUAAGGAUCGGCUAAUUCCGUGCCAGCAGCCGCGGUAAUACGGAAGAUCUGAGCGUUAUCCGGAUUUAUUGGGUUUAAAGGGAGCGUAGGCGGGCCUUUAAGUCAGUGGUCAAAGCGUGUGGCUCAACCAUACCACGCCGUUGAUACUGGAGGCCUUGAGUGCACAUAAGGAUGGUGGAAUUCAUGGUGUAGCGGUGAGAUGCUUAGAUAUCAUGAAGAACUCCGAUUGCGAAGGCAGCUGUCCGGGGUGUAACUGACGCUAAUGCUCGAAAGUGCGGGUAUCAAACAGGAUUAGAUACCCUGGUA